UCCGGUUUGGCACCGGCAGUCUCCCUAGAGUCCCCGGCAUUACCCGCUGGCAACUAAGGGCAGGGGUUGCGCUCGUUGCGGCACUUAAGCCAACACCUCACGGCACGAGCUGACGACAGCCAUGCAGCACCUGUGCUGGCCCCUUACGGACACGGGCUUACACCCGCUUUAACCAGCAUGUCAAGCCUAGGUAAGGUUCUUCGCGUCGCAUCGAAUUAAGCCACAUGCUCCGCCGCUUGUGCGGGUCCCCGUCAAUUCCUUUGAGUUUUAGCCUUGCGGCCGUACUCCCCAGGCGGGGUGCUUAAUGCGUUGGCUGCGGCACCGCGGGGGUCAAUACCCACAGCACCUAGCACUCAUCGUUUACGGCGUGGACUAC
This 376-nucleotide unclassified non-coding RNA is filed under the name uncultured Actinomycetes bacterium. RNAcentral's name for it is "uncultured actinobacterium contains 16S-23S intergenic spacer region". The record is from RNAcentral. Lineage: Bacteria; Bacillati; Actinomycetota; Actinomycetes.